AUUGAACGCUGGCGGCAGGCCUAACACAUGCAAGUCGAGCGAGCGGCGGACGGGUGAGUAAUGUAUGGGGACUGCCCGAUCGUGGGGGAUAACUCCUGGAAACGGUAGCUAAUACCGCAUACUAUCGGAUAACCCAUAUGGGAUUAGCUAGUAGGUGAGGUAAUGGCUCACCUAGGCGACGAUCCCUAGCUGGUCUGAGCGGAUGAUCAGCCACGCUGAUGGUGAAACACGUCCCAGACUCCGAGGGAGGCAGCAGUGGGGAAUAUUGCACAAUGGGCGCAAGCCUGCUACAGCCAUGCCGCGUGUAUGAAGAGGGCCCUAGGGUUGUAAAGUACUUUCAGUCGGGAGGCGUUACCGACAGAAGAAGCACCGGCUAACUCCGUGCCAGCAGCCGCGGUAAUUC
Molecule: ribosomal RNA, 403 nt
Filed under: uncultured bacterium
Lineage: Bacteria
Description: partial 16S ribosomal RNA
Rfam family: Bacterial small subunit ribosomal RNA
Source: RNAcentral